AUAAAACAUAACGUUUCCUCCGAACCGUUUCUUAUUCCCUCAUUCAUCACGCCUAUUCCAAACGCUCAUCUCUCUUCCAUGAAUAUUUUGCCCUCCUUCCUCCAUGUAUUCCUUUCUUCUGACCACCUUCACUUAUGAGCCGACCCGCUGGAAAUCCAUCAACGCCAAUAUCAAAGACUAGAGAUCCUGUUUCUCUUCUGACAUUUUUUAUUGGAAAAUCUGCCUCAACUAUGAUAUACUUCACUUUUUCCUCACUUGAUUUAUCUUAAUAUGGAAAAUGAUUUUUGGACUGUGUUUCGUUUACAUCCAGUGAUUAAAAUUUCAACCUUUUGGUCAUUUCUUGCAGCUUCAAUCACAAAGUGAAGAGAAGCAUUUUUCCAGUAAUUGGAGCAAAAGAUCAAUCACUAUUUAUCACUACUUGGUAUUGUCGUUCUUCUCUCCCUUUUCUUCCAAGUUAAUUAACUUUUUGUGUCAGCAUCUACGUAUUUCUAUUUGAUUACUGUGCAUUUUUCCAAGUACUAUGUUGUGGCUAUCCUACAAAGAUUGCAUUUGCAUUUUAUUUGCUUCAAUCAGUGAGAUUUGUAGGAUAAAGAAGAAUAUGAAGUAAUUUUUAAAUUAUCAAUAAUUUAUGCAUAUCAUAAGAGAAAUAAAGAAACAAAGAUAGGUUAGAAGAUUUCGGCAGUGAAAUGAAAAGUAAUUAUUAAUUUUAUUUGAAUGGAUUAAAUUGUUUCGUUAAUAAUUGGCAUUCUUAUAUUUUACUAUUUUCUAUUCUUCGUUUUUAGAUCUUUUCUUAACCUGAUAUAUUCCCUCCGGUCCAUUUUAAUUGUAGUGUUUUUCUUUUAUAUGUCCUUUAAGAAAUUAUGAAUAAAAAGGGAUUUUUGACUAUUAUAACCUUAUUUGUUCUUCAAUCAUUCAUCAUAUUAAUCUCUCUUCAAUAAAUGUUUUCUCUAUUUAUGUGCCUUAUCCAUCAAUUAUGUGUUUGCACUCUUCACAUUUAGAUUUUUAUGCUGUGUAAUCAAUGUUUAUUACUUUCAAUUUGAUUACUAUGGGAUUUAUCACUGACACAACUAACAUAAACUAACUAAUUGUAAGGCUUCUAAAGCAAUAGCAGCUAUCUUAAUGAUUAAAUUUGUUGUUAAAAUUCGUUCGUGUUUACACCAACUUAGAAUGGAAUGAUUGAAUAGUUCCAUUAGUCGCAAUAGUAGUUGCUCUUGGAAUGUCUAAAUUUCAUUAGUCUUUAUCUGUGGGUUGUUUACCGCCUUUCUGGGAAAGCUGGUGGCUUUUCUUUUGUUAUAUGACGUAUGUAUAGGUUGGAAGAGGAUCGGAGCUAGAAAAUGCUUUGCCUCUUGAGAUUAUUGAUAAGGCCUUUGUGGCAUUCGGAAAUGAUAUUGUCACUGCUUUCGAGUACUAUUGUUUUUGGAUUAUGAUUUAUAAGGUUUUGCUCUUAGUUAUUUAUUUGGCUUUGCCAAGUUCCCUCCCCUGAAAGGUGUACUGCUCUACAGAUUUAGAUAGACUCAUGCACCCCUUUUCCUGAUACAUGUAAAUAAGCUAAUAGCAAGGGGAAAUAGCUUUUUACCAAUUGUAUCUUACUUAGAAUUUGUUCCUAGGAUUCACAUUCAAAGUGUAGUAAUUGUCUGAUGUAAAAAUAAUGACCAUUAUAGCUUUCUUGGUCUGUUAAUUUAGGUUCACUAAUUUGGUCAUAUUGUUCAGUUGUGCAUAUUGGUUCUUGUUGAAAAGUCUGUUGGUUGAUCUACUGAAGAGAAGUUCAUUUAAAAAAAUGUUUUUCAAAAGUAGAGAAGUAGCAAAACAAAAUGACCUUCAAGAAGUAUAGUUUCUCGAAAUGGAGCCUUUUUCUUUGUUUUGGUAGUUUCUUCUCUGGAGUUAACCACAAUAUCAAGUUAUUCACUAAUAAGAGAGAUUACAUUUGAGUAAUCUCCUUUGUCAAUUUGGCAGAUUUUUAUAUCUUCACUUUAGCUGUCUAUUUUGGAUCAUUCCGAGAUGAAAAGCUAGCUCCUAAGUCAGGAUUUGGACUUAUCUUUUUUAUCUGUUUUUUGCCGUUUCCUAUUAUUUAGCCUCUUUCCUUUAUGUUUUUAUUUAUUUGUUACCUUCGGUUACAAAAUCAAAAGCCGCACCCUUCCUUAACCCUCUUAAUUCAACCUCCUUCUGAUUUUCCCUUUCUUUCUAUUAAUCAUCUUAAUUAGGCUACGAUCCUUCAAGAGAGAAGCAAAUAUGGUUUGUUGGAUGAAAGUAAGGACAACGGCUUUGUUGAGAACACUAUCAUCAUUUUUAGUGUAGAGUCGGAAAUAUAUAUUGAGCUUCCUUCGACUUGCUUUUUGUUGGAGUAAUAGAGCAAACAACUGAUAUUAAGGGAUCUAAUAAGUGUGGGAGGCUUGAGUACUGAAGUUUGAAAAAGCAUUCGAGCAAGACUUCUGCAUUUUCAGAUUACUUAAAAUUUGCUGCUGAAUAGUGAAUAUGAGUGCAAUUUGAACAGGUUAUCAGUGGGUCAAUGCCAACUUAGCAUUCUCACAGGAGCCUCAUGGUACAAAAAGGAAAUAUGUCAACAUCCGAUUAUAUUUUAACACUUCAUGUUGCAGUUAUAUUACCCAAUAUUCAUAUGAUUCACCAUUGAGUCCUUCAACUAUGUUAGCCUAAGACAGGAUAAUUGGAUAGUAACAAGGAUGAUUGCAUUCGAAAGAUGGACUUUAUAUGAUGGGCAACACUAUUAAUUUGAAGAAAAAGAGGAACUGAUUAGUUAGGCAUAUAUUUAGGGACGAGAACUUUACCACUGUAAAUCUACAGAAAAAGUGUGUGAUACUUUUAUUUUGAUGUUUUAUUUCAAUAUGUAUUUUUCCUUAUAUAUUACUUUCAUUUCUUCAUAUCUGUGUUUUAUAAUUUAUUUUAAUAAUAUAAGAUUUUAUUUAUUUUA
Long non-coding RNA from Lycium ferocissimum, 2926 nucleotides. RefSeq lists it as uncharacterized. The transcript has 2 exons. The record is from RefSeq and is a predicted model, not a curated record. NCBI's taxonomy places the organism in Eukaryota, Viridiplantae, Streptophyta, Magnoliopsida, Solanales, Solanaceae.